This 690-nucleotide long non-coding RNA is filed under the name Sorghum bicolor (sorghum). Its description in RNAcentral is "long non-coding RNA (SBIC_LNC015104)". The record is from RNAcentral. Lineage: Eukaryota; Viridiplantae; Streptophyta; Magnoliopsida; Poales; Poaceae.
UGUGUGUAAUCAUGAAAGGUGAUGUGUGACAAUGUACUCCCAUGCAUUAUUUUCAUGAGAGUAAAGCCAUAUUUUGUGAUGUGUUUUGCACUCUCACGAAAUCUCUGGAUUCUGGUAGUGCGUGCAAGCCUAAGACCAAAUAGGGAGAUCAGGCAACCAAAGGACAGUGACUCCUUAUACUACUCCAAUGAAACCCACCUAGAUUAGCUAUCGAUAUAUAGAUCGAUUGAUCACAGGCCAGAGUCAUUGCCAAGAACCUAUGGCACAAUCUGUCUGGGGAGGGAAGCGUCGCUGCAUAGCAAGGUGGAAAAGGUCAUAUAGGAGUAUUUUUUUUGUCCUGGUUGAAGCUUGGUGAGCGGCGGCAGCGGGGCUUCUAAUACCAUGAGAGAGAGAGAGAGAGAGAUAGGAUUGGAGGAACAAUAUAAUCUGUGUUUUUCUUUUCAAUUAGAUCUAUUAUUAGGCGUGCAUUGUGAGUUUUGGUUAAUUAAUAGAAAUGUUUAUGAUUUUCAUAAUAGCAGAGGUGGGUAAUUUGUUUUAGAAAAUAUAGGUCUAAUUGCUAUUGAUAUUAAUGGUUAGAGUCCGUCAAAUUGAUGGACAGAUCUUUCUAAUUUAUGUGAAAAUUUUAAGGAUUUAUCUUUUUUUCCUACCGUGUUCGGUGAGAAUUAACAUGUGGCUCCCUUUUUUACGGCA